CACCACUAGCUGUUGAAGCUGCCAGCAUGAUCUGAAUCUGAACCCUCCGCCGCCCCGAUCUCACGUCGGUCCAUCGGAAUCGGAUCAUAUUGGUAGCUUCAUCUGCUCAUGGU
This 113-nucleotide microRNA precursor is filed under the name Cucumis sativus (cucumber). RNAcentral's name for it is "pre miRNA MIR167_1". It matches the Rfam family "MIR167 microRNA precursor family". The record is from RNAcentral. Lineage: Eukaryota; Viridiplantae; Streptophyta; Magnoliopsida; Cucurbitales; Cucurbitaceae.